This 253-nucleotide ribosomal RNA is filed under the name uncultured bacterium. RNAcentral describes it as "partial 16S ribosomal RNA". It matches the Rfam family "Bacterial small subunit ribosomal RNA", at positions 524 to 776 of the family's 1533-position model. The record is from RNAcentral.
UACGUAGGGGGCAAGCGUUGUCCGGAUUUAUUGGGCGUAAAGAGCGUGUAGGCGGCCAGACAGGUCCACUGUGAAAACUCGAGGCUCAACCUCGAGAGGUCGGUGGAAACCGUCUGGCUAGAGUCCGGAAGAGGAGAGUGGAAUUCCCGGUGUAGCGGUGAAAUGCGCAGAUAUCGGGAAGAACACCCGUGGCGAAGGCGGCUCUCUGGGACGGUACUGACGCUGAGACGCGAAAGCGUGGGGAGUGAACAGG